CAAUAAUAAAUUGGUGCUGCAUCUGCCAUGUGCUACUUUUAUCCACAGUGACCCUUCAGAGUUUGAGAGGCACUUAAAUUCAUAAAAUCUUCAAGUGUUGAAUGAAACCGAGAGACUUUUGCUUGUUUACUUGAACUUAUUCCGAUAUGAAUUUUGUUGGAUGUUUAUGAGGGGAAUGUCUUUGUAUCCACGCUACAAAGGUAGAUCACCUCUAAUCUUUCUCAUCACAUAUUUAUAUUGAAUUUGAUCUGAAUGUGAUCCUUAUGGACUUCACAUCCAUGUUGAUGGCAGAGUCACUGAGGGCUUUGAGUGUGGUGUCAUUUUCUUUCAAAUCUACUGAAAAGAAAACUCCUUAUUGAUCAGAACACAACCACACUGAGGAUUAAUGAUAGGGAAUAAGUGAAAUAUAGAUUAAAUGAUAACUGUAGGAACGUGAACCUGAAUUCUAAAAUAACACUCUCAGAAAGAGGACAAGAAAGAAAGAAAUGUGAAGCUGAAUUGACUCUCUUGAGGUUUAGAGCAUUGAUUAAAUGAUAUGCCGGUUUGAUUAUGACAGAAUGGGAUUACAUGUGAAAAACCAGGAAAAGGAAAUUCUGGUUGCUCACACUGCAAAUGUCCGGA
Sinocyclocheilus anshuiensis is the source of this 621-nucleotide long non-coding RNA. RefSeq lists it as uncharacterized. NCBI's taxonomy places the organism in Eukaryota, Metazoa, Chordata, Actinopteri, Cypriniformes, Cyprinidae. The record is from RefSeq and is a predicted model, not a curated record. The transcript is spliced from 3 exons.